RNAcentral lists this long non-coding RNA (372 nucleotides) under Triticum aestivum (bread wheat). Its description in RNAcentral is "long non-coding RNA (TAES_LNC005438)". The record is from RNAcentral. Lineage: Eukaryota; Viridiplantae; Streptophyta; Magnoliopsida; Poales; Poaceae.
ACCGCAUCCGCUGCUCCGCGGACCCCUGCUGCUUCUAGGCUCUCCAUAUACGCUCUGGAAAUGGUUCAUCUCAAAUUCUGAAGGUAACAGUGUCACUACAAAUUCUGAAAAUAACACUAUAACUUUGUAAACGAUUCAUCUCAAUAAGCAAGUAGGACUCAACCAAGUACAUAAUUUAAGCCAAUACAACAUAUCAAAGCAUCAAAGCAUAAGUAAGAAAUAGACGGAGGGAGAAGGGAGGGAAGAUACCACCACAGGAACCAAAUCGAAGCACCAUACUCCCAAGAACUGCCUGGCUGCAGCAAGCCCUUAUUGUCAUGGCGCAGAUAAGAUAUUCUUGCUUAUGGCACACCACACCACGUGCACUACCAG